AUAUUUCUACGAAUUAGUCCCUUUAACUUCGUUAGGAAAGAAAUGAGAGAUAUAUGAAUAACCAUCUAGGUUCGGUAACUACACCUAGUACUGUAGCACAAUUGUCUUGUUACGUCAUUUAAUGUGGGGAGAUGGGGGGGGGUUACGUACAAAGAAACCCAUCAUUAUUCAACACUUUUCUCUGUGCCCGAAGUCCGCCUCUCCUUGCACAGCUCGAAAGUUCUCAAGUAAAUACAGGCCGGCGCGGGGAUUUGCAACCCGUUUUACACCCCUGCUGGAUCACUUGGGAAGAUCGCAGGGAGCAGGACAAACUUCAAGGCUCCUGCGAGUCAAAUUGGACGCCCCGCAACUCCUCCUCUUCCUCCCUGCGAGCUUUGUGCCACGCGACGGGUUUUGGAAACGAAUCCUUUCGGGCCAACCGGUGGGGCAAGAGCUCCAUUGCUGUCCGCAAGCGUGUUAAAGUUAGAUGGGCGAAGAGAGCCCUCUCUUCCCCUCCGCUGGACUCGCCUUCCCUUCUGAAAAGGGGAUCCCCCUCUCCCUGCAACCGCCCCACAACCGUUUACUUGGCAGGCUUGGCAGCCACUCAAGGUCUUGUGAUGCGAUUGGCCAAGCCAGCUCUCUCCUUUGACACACAGCCUCAAGCUCUGCGCUCAACCUGACAAAGGCCGCCGCUGCUGAGCCUGGCAAAGAUCAGGGAGGUGGGGCGGGCUGACGCCAUACAGCUGCGGAGCCACGUUCGGCCGCUCGCUGCCGUCAAGCCCCGCCCCUUUGAGAUUUGAGCGUCUGCCAGGGAGGCUGCUCCUUUCCUCUCCCAAAUUCAUUUCUCAGGGCUCUGACCCAAUAAUGAAUGCACGGCGGCUGCUGGUGGAAACCUGCGCUUGUUUAUCAGACAAACGAAUAAAAAUGGUAGCUUUAAACGGAGGAGUAGCGCUGGGGUGAUUUGCGCUGAGUUAAGAGACAUAAUUUCUUUAUUGCAGAUUGUCUUCCCAAGCGUAAGCCCGCUAAAAGGGCGAACUCCUGAAUCAGCCUAUCUGCCGUGGUUUAUGGGAGCUGGUAUUCGUACGCUCCCGGGUCCUUGUGAUUCCGGGUCCUUGUAACACCAGUGAAAGCAAAGCGUUCCUUCUUGCAGGAAAAGUAACGCACAUCUUCCAAUUCCCAUCUUUUUGUAUAAUUAGCCUAUCCCAAGCGAAUAUAUAUAGAAACUAAACAUGUUCGACUAACCUAAAACGCCGGAAGGAAUAUAUGGCUUACUCUCCUUCACACACCCACACACCCUUUCUACCCUCGAUCGAACUGAUCAGGGCAGAGCCACAUAGCAUGACAGCCCUGCGUUUUACUAAAUGGCGGACGGGCGGGCUGCUGGUUUCAGUAAGGGGAGUCCCUCCAGUUUACAAAUGCAGCCGUUAGAUGGUUCUUUUGCAGAAAGAGCGCCAAUCCCACGAAAUCCAGGGCUUCUCGGCGGCAAAGCCGUGCCGACUUCGAGUCCCUUGGAUCUGGGCUUUGCACCUUCGCCUCUCCUACCACGAUCAUUAGGUGCCCAGCUUCUCUUCCUUCCCGCCUCGCCCCGAUCCUCUCCCGGCUUGGAUUCUCCCGUCGGCCAACCAGGCGCUAACCCGCCGGGCGCGCGCCGUUCUUGUCGGGAGGGAGGCGAGGGCGCCUUUCAAGUAACUCCCUGCUGCUAAAUGGCUGCGCAGAGAAAUGUCCUCCGAGGCGUCUCCGAGGCAAGUGAAAGAUGCAGUCAGUGACAAACAUGGUAAAAAGUUUCACCAGGAUAUUGCUAGAAUGGAAAAAUAGUAAUGGGACAACUGAAAUCCAUCAAUACUGACUAACUAUUGCUGGAUACAGCAAUGAGCUGCAUCAGACAGAUACCUACAUGACACAGACAUUCUGAAAUUAUACGUGUUCAGUUUGAAAGGAUCUAUCAUACUCACCGAACGUUUUCGAGAAAGAAAAACUUUUGAAAAAAAUUGAUGUCCGAUGUAAUUAAAGGAUAUAAUCAAUGUAUCAGAAUGUAUGUAAUUCUUGGGAUUACAAAAAAAUAUUUUUUUUAAAUGAUACCAUAUCGUUUGUUAAAAUUAUGUUUCACAUAUACAUUUGUAUGUAAUCAAACUUUAUAAAUUUGUUC
Ahaetulla prasina is the source of this 2125-nucleotide long non-coding RNA. RefSeq lists it as uncharacterized. The record is from RefSeq and is a predicted model, not a curated record. The transcript is spliced from 3 exons. Lineage: Eukaryota; Metazoa; Chordata; Lepidosauria; Squamata; Colubridae.